UUGUCUCAAGACUAAGCCAUGCAUGUCUAAGUAUAAACGCUUCUGUACUGUGAAACUGCGAAUGGCUCAUUAAAUCAGUUAUAGUUUAUUUGAUGGUUCCUUGCUACUUGGAUAACCGUAGUAAUUCUAGAGCUAAUACAUGCAGAAAGUCCCAACUCGACGGGCGGGACGUAUUUAUUAGAUCCAAAACCGGCGCGGGUCUCUCCCCCGGGAGGGCCCGGUUGCUCGGCGACUCAUGAUAACUGCUCGAACCGCGCGGCCCCCGAGCCGGCGGUGCUUCAUUCAAAUUUCUGCCCUAUCAACUUUCGAUGGUACGGUAGUGGCCUACCAUGGUUGCAACGGGUGACGGAGAAUUAGGGUUCGAUUCCGGAGAGGGAGCCUGAGAGACGGCUACCACAUCUAAGGAAGGCAGCAGGCGCGCAAAUUACCCAAUCCCGACUCGGGGAGGUAGUGACAACAAAUAACAAUGCCGGUCUAAUCUAGUCUGGCAAUUGGAAUGAGCACAACUUAAAUCCCUUAACGAGGAACAAUUGGAGGGCAAGUCUGGUGCCAGCAGCCGCGGUAAUUCCAGCUCCAAUAGCGUAUAUUAAAGUUGUUGCAGUUAAAAAGCUCGUAGUUGGAUUUCGGGGCGGCCUGUCUGGUCCGUCGCGAGACGAGCACUGGUCAGCCGCCCUUCCUCUCGAAAGCCCCGACUGCUCUUGACUGCAGUGGUCGGGGAGUUCGGGACGUUUACUUUGAAAAAAUUAGAGUGUUCAAGGCAGGCUCCCGCCUGAAUACAUUAGCAUGGAAUAAUGGAAGAGGACCUCGGUCCUAUUUUGUUGGUUUCUGGGGCCGAAGUAAUGAUUAAGAGGGACAGUUGGGGGCAUUCGUAUUUAAUUGUCAGAGGUGAAAUUCUCGGAUUUAUGAAAGACGAACGACUGCCAAAGCAUUUGCCAAGGAUGUUUUCAUUAAUCAAGAACGAAAGUUAGGGGUUCGA
This 976-nucleotide ribosomal RNA is filed under the name Aaptos sp. KY288. RNAcentral's name for it is "SSU rRNA". It matches the Rfam family "Eukaryotic small subunit ribosomal RNA", at positions 34 to 1001 of the family's 1831-position model. Lineage: Eukaryota; Metazoa; Porifera; Demospongiae; Suberitida; Suberitidae. The record is from RNAcentral.